Molecule: long non-coding RNA, 839 nt
Organism: Clupea harengus (Atlantic herring)
Lineage: Eukaryota; Metazoa; Chordata; Actinopteri; Clupeiformes; Clupeidae
Source: Ensembl
CUGGAGAGGGUGUGUGGGGUUAGCUUAGCUAUAAUUAGCUUGAGAGGGUGUGUGUGUGUAUAUAAGGGGUUAGUUAUAAUUAGCUGGAGAGGGUGUGUGUGUAUAUAAGGAGAUAGUUAUGAUUAGCUGGAGAGGGUGUGUGGGUAUAUAAGGGGUUAUUUAUAAUUAGCUGGAGAGGGUGUGUGUGUAUAUAAGGGGUUAGCUUAGCUAUAAUUAGCUUGAGAGGGUGUGUGUGUAUAUAAGGGGUUAGCUUAGCUAUAAUUAGCUGGAGAGGGUGUGUGUGUAUAUAAGGGGUUAGAGAUAGUUAUAAUUAGCUGGAGAGGGUGUGUGUGUAUAUAAGGGGUUAGAGUUAGCUAUAAUUAGCUUGAGAGGGUGUGUGUGUAUAUAAGGGGUUAGAGAUAGUUAUAAUUAGCUGGAGAGGGUGUGUGUGUGUAUAUAAGGGGUUAGCUUAGCUAUAAUUAGCUUGAGAGGGUGUGUGUGUAUAUAAGGGGUUAGAGUUAGUUAUAAUUAGCUUGAGAGGGUGUGUGUGUAUAUAAGGGGUUAGAUUAGCUAUAAUUAGCUUGAGAGGGUGUGUGUGUAUAUAAGGGGUUAGCUUAGCUAUAAUUAGCUUGAGAGGGUGUGUGUGUAUGUAAGGGGUUAGAGAUAGUUAUAAUUAGCUGGAGAGGGUGUGUGUGUAUAUAAGGGGGGUUAGAGUUAGUUAUAAUUAGCUUGAGAGGGUGUGUGUGUAUAUAAGGGGUUAGAGUUAGCUAUAAUUAGCUUGAGAGGGUGUGUGUGUAUAUAAGGGGUUAGAGAUAGUUAUAAUUAGCUGGAGAGGGUGUGUGGGUAUAUAAGGGGUUAGA